UACAGAGGUCCCGAGCGUUGUUCGGAUUCACUGGGCGUAAAGGGUGCGUAGGUGGUUGUGCAAGUCUGAUGUGAAAUCUCCGGGCUUAACCCGGAAAUGGCAUUGGAAACUGCAUGGCUAGAGUGUUGGAGGGGGGACUGGAAUUCUCGGUGUAGCAGUGAAAUGCGUAGAUAUCGAGAGGAACACCAGUGGCGAAGGCGAGUCCCUGGACAACGACUGACACUGAGGCACGAAAGCUAGGGGAGCAAACAGG
Molecule: ribosomal RNA, 253 nt
Filed under: uncultured bacterium
Lineage: Bacteria
Description: partial 16S ribosomal RNA
Rfam family: Bacterial small subunit ribosomal RNA
Source: RNAcentral